UUAGGAAUCUUCCCCAAUGGGCGCAAGCCUGACGCAGCAACGCCGCGUGGGGGAUGAAGGCCUUCGGGUUGUAAACCCCUUUCAGGAGGGAAGAAAUUGACGGUACCUCCAGAAGAAGCACCGGCCAACUACGUGCCAGCAGCCGCGGUAAUACGUAGGGUGCAAGCGUUAUCCGGAAUCAUUGGGCGUAAAGAGCUCGUAGGCGGUUCAGCAAGUCGGCUGUGAAAGUCCGAGGCUUAACCUCGGAACUGCAGUCGAUACUGCUGUGACUCGAGUCCGGUAGAGGAGAAUGGAAUUCCCGGUGUAGCGGUGAAAUGCGCAGAUAUCGGGAGGAACACCAGUAGCGAAGGCGGUUCUCUGGGCCGGCACUGACGCUGAGGAGCGAAAGCGUGGGGAGCAAACAGGAUUAGAUACCCCCGUAGUCC
Molecule: ribosomal RNA, 425 nt
Filed under: uncultured prokaryote
Description: bacterial SSU rRNA
Rfam family: Bacterial small subunit ribosomal RNA
Source: RNAcentral